CCCCGACAUCCAGAGAGUGGCUGACGCCAACGCCAACCUGCCGACCGGGGCAAGGUGGUUUGCUCCCCUUCGAUCCACAAGAGCACGAAGGGGGCGAUGGGGCUCUAAGCGAGCAAUCCAACCGGAAAAG
RNAcentral lists this non-coding RNA (130 nucleotides) under Microbulbifer thermotolerans. RNAcentral describes it as "SAM-I-IV sequence". It matches the Rfam family "SAM-I/IV (S-adenosyl methionine) riboswitch aptamer". From Rfam's summary of the family: It is found upstream of a number of genes which code for proteins involved in methionine or cysteine biosynthesis. The record is from Rfam by way of RNAcentral. Lineage: Bacteria; Pseudomonadati; Pseudomonadota; Gammaproteobacteria; Cellvibrionales; Microbulbiferaceae.